Molecule: small RNA, 19 nt
Filed under: Arabidopsis thaliana (thale cress)
Lineage: Eukaryota; Viridiplantae; Streptophyta; Magnoliopsida; Brassicales; Brassicaceae
Description: Ath_wt_03236
Source: RNAcentral
GCGAGUUCUAUCGGGUAAA